UAUAUUCCCUAGUACAUAUAAAUAUCUAUUUUUUCCUCUUACGAUAUUACAAUUACAUCCUUUAUUUAAACAUUCUGAUUUUUUUAUUAUGUUAAUACAUUUUAAUCUACCUUUUUUUUUAUUCUAUUUAGAUAUUUUUGGAAAAAAAGAAAAAGAUAAGUAUUUUUUAUUAAACAGUUUUUCAAAACAAGACAAACCAAAACAACAUAUGAGAAAUUAUAAAAAUAAAAAUGUAAUAAAUGGGAAUAGUGAUAAUAUGAUUACUAAUAAUAAUUACUAUACUGAUAAGUGCUCAAACGGAAAAUCUAAACAAAAGGUCAUACAUUUUUCAAAAAUAAGUUAUUACAUAAAUGUUGUUAAUAGUUUUACUACAAGUAUUAACGAAAAUCAAAUGAAAACUUAUAUAAAUAGCACAAAUCUGAAUAAAAAAAUAAAAAAACAAAUAGUUACUCAAUGGAUGCAAAAAAGGGAAAAAAAACGGGAAGAAAAACGGGGAGAAAAACGGGGAGAAAAACGGGGAGAAAAACGGGGAGAAAAACGGGAGGAAAAACGAGGAGAAAAGCAAAAAAGGGUAACACACGAACGUAACAAUGAAAAAACUAAAAAAAAAAAACUUUAUCAUUCCAAAUGCUAUUUUCCUUUUCCUACCUUAUCAUAUCAAAAUGCACAUAAUUUUUAUAAAAAUUUUUUAUUAUUUUAUAAAACCUUAUAUUGUUCUAUUUUUUAUGAAGGUAAAAGUUAUAUGCAAUUAUUCAAUUGUUUAGAGAUGUACAAAAAAAUUAUUUACAUGUCUUUAUUUGAGGACUUUUAUUAUAAAUCUAAUAAUACAGAAUGUGUUGGAAAUUUUAGCAAUAAGGACGAUUCUAUAAAUAUCACCAAACACAACUCCAAAUAUAAUAAUAAGAAGAUACACAAAAAAGAAAUAAAUUAUACAUGGGAAUACAACGACGAUAUAUGCCUUUUAUUAAACAUGAUUAUAUGUUCAUAUAACUCUGUUUUAUAUGAAUCUGUUAAGGUUUUAUCGUUAGAAAUGUUAUACUGCAUAAUAUACCAUUUAAAUAAUCCAAAUUUAAAAAAAGAAAUUAUACCUUUUUUAUUAUAUUGUCUAAAGGAUCGAAAUGAACAAAUUAGAACUAUAACACUUAAAUGUAUAUACCGAAUUACAAUAAACGAACAAACAUAUCAAUACUGGUUUCUUUACAUAUAUAAAUUUCUUCCAAAAUUCUUUAAUUUGAU
This 1236-nucleotide long non-coding RNA is filed under the name Piliocolobus tephrosceles (Ugandan red Colobus). Its description in RNAcentral is "lncRNA (ENSPTEG00000007785.1)". Lineage: Eukaryota; Metazoa; Chordata; Mammalia; Primates; Cercopithecidae. The record is from RNAcentral.